GAUGAACGCUGGCGGCGUGCCUAACACAUGCAAGUCGAACGGAGUCCAGCCUUUAAGACCUUCGGGUCAAAGAGGGGAAGACUGAGUGGCGGACGGGUGAGUAACACGUGGGCAACCUGGCUCAUAGAGGGGGAUAACAGAGAGAAAUUUCUGCUAAUACCGCAUAAGCACACACUGCCGCAUGGCAGAGGGUGAAAAGCGAAUCGCUAUGAGAUGGACCCGCGUCUGAUUAGCCAGUUGGCAGGGUAAGAGCCUACCAAAGCGACGAUCAGUAGCCGAUCUGAGAGGAUGAACGGCCACAUUGGGACUGAGACACGGCCCAGACUCCUACGGGAGGCAGCAGUGGGGGAUAUUGCACAAUGGGGGGAACCCUGAUGCAGCGACGCCGCGUGAGUGAAGAAGUAUUUCGGUAUGUAAAGCUCUAUCAGCAGGGAAGAUAAUGACAGUACCUGAAUAAGAAGCCCCGGCUAACUACGUG
Molecule: ribosomal RNA, 478 nt
Filed under: uncultured bacterium
Lineage: Bacteria
Description: partial 16S ribosomal RNA
Rfam family: Bacterial small subunit ribosomal RNA
Source: RNAcentral